Etheostoma spectabile (orangethroat darter) is the source of this 162-nucleotide long non-coding RNA. RefSeq lists it as uncharacterized. NCBI's taxonomy places the organism in Eukaryota, Metazoa, Chordata, Actinopteri, Perciformes, Percidae. The transcript is spliced from 3 exons. The record is from RefSeq and is a predicted model, not a curated record.
UCACUGUUAAACUGAAUGCAGUAUAGUGCAGUGGAUGAAUCAUGUCAUGAUGUAUUUUUGUUUUGUUUUGUCUGUUUGUUUUGUCAACGUAUAUGUCACCAUUAUGUGUACCUUUUAAUUUACAGUCAAUGAGUGCUGUAUGACUGCAGAUGUCUGUAUGUU